CAAAUCUUUCUGAACAAGUCUCUCAUAUUUCAAACUUAUCGUUGGUAAAAAUAUUGAAUGAUAUUGGGCAGAGAACUGAUCCCUGUGGGACUCCACUAACAGCUCCAGGAACAGAAACAAAGGUCGGGAAAGAGAACUUUUAGAAACCUCACUACAGUGAAAAGGACUUCAGAACAUCUAAACCAAAAGUGCUCAUUUCCCUUCCAAAUGAUCAAAUUUGCCACCUCGGGAAGAGACUCUGCAACUUUAAAUACAAUUUCCUCUAAUCAAAUGAUUCAAGGUGGGAAUGUCCCUUGCCAGUAGUACUUACAGACUAGUAAAGGAAAUUUGCAUGCAAACUUUUAACUUGACAUUGGAGGUCACAUGAUACAGCACAGCAACGUCUACGUCUAGUUUUAAUU
Molecule: long non-coding RNA, 401 nt
Organism: Trachemys scripta elegans
Lineage: Eukaryota; Metazoa; Chordata; Testudines; Emydidae
Exons: 3
Source: RefSeq, a predicted model, not a curated record